AGACAACAUGGCGGCUGCCUUGUGGCCCUGAUAGCCGGUGCGCAGAGACCCCGCCAGGGGCUGACGCUCCACAGGACGAUGGCGAGGGAAGCACAGUAACUCUGCAGGCAAGAUGGCUACAUCAAAACUGUAUAAACUGGCCAAUGGAAACAUUUAUGCACCCAACUGCUUCCCUGCCAGAAACAUUUUGCGGACAAGUGAAGAAGGGGCUGGUCACUGGCUGGUGGCUCACAGAGCUGCCCAGAAGACCAAGUUUGAGGCAGUGAUCUGUGCGAAAUCCCUUCAAGAGAAAGUACGAGGGACUCCACAGUACAUGACAGAGCUCCAACACCAUGGAUCCACAGAUGAAAUUGUUCAAGAGAAUAUCCUAGAUGGGCCAUUUCU
Molecule: long non-coding RNA, 384 nt
Filed under: Chelydra serpentina (North American snapping turtle)
Lineage: Eukaryota; Metazoa; Chordata; Testudines; Chelydridae
Description: lncRNA (ENSCSRG00000013929.1)
Source: RNAcentral